CUGAAUAUGUUUCCUGUGGAAUAAAAUAAAUGCAUCUGCUGAGGGACAGUCAGUGAGUGUGUCUGUGUCCAACUCUUCCUCACAGGUUAGUUAAUGACAGACAGUCAGUGAGUGUGUGUGUGUCCAACUCUUCCUCACAGGUUAGUUAAUGACAGACAGUCAGUGAGUGUGUCUGUGUCCAACUCUUCCUCACAGGUUAGUUAAUGACAGACAGUCAGUGAGUGUGUGUGUGUCCAACUCUUCCUCACAGGUUAGUUAAUGACAGACAGUCAGUGAGUGUGUGUGUGUCCAACUCUUCCUCACAGGUUAGUUAAUGACAGACAGUCAGUGAGUGUGUGUGUGUCCAACUCUUCCUCACAGGUUAGUUAAUGAUGUUACUGAGUCAAUGUGAGCAGAUUGUGUCUGUAGACUGAAGAGAAUCAGAGUCUCACUGAUGGUGGAAAUAAAGGUUUUACUUCCUUAAAA
This is a long non-coding RNA of Dicentrarchus labrax (European seabass), 465 nucleotides long. RefSeq lists it as uncharacterized. Lineage: Eukaryota; Metazoa; Chordata; Actinopteri; Moronidae. The record is from RefSeq and is a predicted model, not a curated record. The transcript is spliced from 2 exons.